This is a long non-coding RNA of Sander lucioperca (pikeperch), 321 nucleotides long. RefSeq lists it as uncharacterized. The transcript is spliced from 3 exons. NCBI's taxonomy places the organism in Eukaryota, Metazoa, Chordata, Actinopteri, Perciformes, Percidae. The record is from RefSeq and is a predicted model, not a curated record.
AGAGGAGACCAGCUGAGGGGAUACAGGGGAUAGAGAUUGGUAAAUUAUGUUGAUUUUGUCAGCGAAAAAGUGGAGGAAUGAGUUGCAGAGAUCUGGAGUAGAGGUAAGGAGGGUGUUGGUCCGAGGCUUGAUGAGGUUGUUCACUGUGGAGAAGAGGGUUCUGGGGUUUUGGCAGGGGUCGGUGAGGAUGGUGGAGAGUUAGGCAGACUUGGCAGCAAUGAGGGCAUCUUUGUGGGCAGUGAGGUGGAGUUUAUAGGCUUCAUGAUGGACUGUGAGAGAUGAUUUCUUUGUCAGAUGUUCAAGUUGGCGGCCAGUUUGUUU